GCGGAUGUGGUGUAAUUGGUAGCCACGCCAGACUUAGGAUCUGGUGCCUUAACCGGCGUGGGGGUUCGAGUCCCUUCAUCCGCA
This 84-nucleotide transfer RNA is filed under the name Rikenellaceae bacterium. Its description in RNAcentral is "tRNA-Leu". It matches the Rfam family "tRNA". Rfam says of the family: Transfer RNA (tRNA) molecules are approximately 80 nucleotides in length. Their secondary structure includes four short double-helical elements and three loops (D, anti-codon, and T loops). Lineage: Bacteria; Pseudomonadati; Bacteroidota; Bacteroidia; Bacteroidales; Rikenellaceae. The record is from RNAcentral. RNAcentral also lists the same sequence under 1 other name.